AGGUCGGGGAAGUGGCUCCAAACUUUCACCUUGCCAGUCCUUGCUAGUAGUUCUCAAAGGCGACCUCCACUUUGAUUGCCUGGAGCUCCGUAGAGGAAUAGAAAGCUUCAACCAUGGCAACCUUUGCAAUUUCUAAUUUCUUCUCUCACUUGCUGGUCUCCGUAGACAUCGAACUUCAGUGUCACCUCAGGUCUUGGUGAGUUUAGCUUCUAGGUGCAUCACCUUGGCCUUCAAUGAUUUGACCUCCUCCUCAGCCUUAAUUUUGGAGAGCACAGCAUUGUCUACCCUCCUAUUGGCCU
RNAcentral lists this long non-coding RNA (299 nucleotides) under Elaeis guineensis (African oil palm). RNAcentral's name for it is "long non-coding RNA (EGUI_LNC046563)". Lineage: Eukaryota; Viridiplantae; Streptophyta; Magnoliopsida; Arecales; Arecaceae. The record is from RNAcentral.